RNAcentral lists this ribosomal RNA (175 nucleotides) under Pseudomonas asplenii. RNAcentral describes it as "16S ribosomal RNA". It matches the Rfam family "Bacterial small subunit ribosomal RNA", at positions 1100 to 1275 of the family's 1533-position model. Lineage: Bacteria; Pseudomonadati; Pseudomonadota; Gammaproteobacteria; Pseudomonadales; Pseudomonadaceae. The record is from RNAcentral.
AACCCUUGUCGUUAGUUACCAGCAAGUCAUGGUGGCACUCUAAGGAGACUGCCGGUGACAAACCGGAGGAAGGUGGGGAUGAUGUCAAGUCAUCAUGGCCCUUACGGCCUGGGCUACACACGUGCUACAAUGGUCGGUACAGAGGGUUGCCAAGCCGCGAGGUGGAGCUAAUCCC